GCAGGUUCACUCACCUUCGCAUUUGCGGGAGAGAAAGGGGGUAGACGGAGGAGGACGAAAAAUAGGAAACACUGACUUACAUUAAAGGGCUGAUAUCCAGCAAUUGAACUUGUGAUGAUAAUAGAAGUUAUGAUGACUUUUUGCGAUGGCGUGCCAGCUUUUGAUCCACAUUUUUCAAUUUUUCUAAGUACAUCUAAUC
Molecule: long non-coding RNA, 199 nt
Organism: Pogonomyrmex barbatus (red harvester ant)
Lineage: Eukaryota; Metazoa; Arthropoda; Insecta; Hymenoptera; Formicidae
Source: RefSeq, a predicted model, not a curated record